Molecule: ribosomal RNA, 298 nt
Filed under: uncultured bacterium
Lineage: Bacteria
Description: partial 16S ribosomal RNA
Rfam family: Bacterial small subunit ribosomal RNA
Source: RNAcentral
GUGCCUACGGGAGGCAGCAGUGGGGAAUUUUGGACAAUGGGCGCAAGCCUGAUCCAGCUAUUCCGCGUGUGGGAUGAAGGCCCUCGGGUUGUAAACCACUUUUGUAGAGAAUGAAAAGACACCUUUUAAUAAAGGGUGUUGCUGACGGUACUCUAAGAAUAAGCACCGGCUAACUACGUGCCAGCAGCCGCGGUAAUACGUAGGGUGCGAGCGUUAAUCGGAAUUACUGGGCGUAAAGGGUGCGCAGGCGGUUGAGUAAGACAGCUGUGUAAUCCCCGCGCUUAAUUAGGGUAUGGCA